RNAcentral lists this ribosomal RNA (484 nucleotides) under uncultured bacterium. RNAcentral's name for it is "partial 16S ribosomal RNA". It matches the Rfam family "Bacterial small subunit ribosomal RNA", at positions 30 to 507 of the family's 1533-position model. The record is from RNAcentral.
AUUGAACGCUGGCGGCAGGCCUAACACCUGCAAGUCGAGCGGAUGAAGGGAGCUUGCUCCUGGAUUCAGCGGCGGACGGGUGAGUAAUGCCUAGGAAUCUGCCUGGUAGUGGGGGAUAACGUCCGGAAACGGGCGCUAAUACCGCAUACGUCCUGAGGGAGAAAGUGGGGGAUCUUCGGACCUCACGCUAUCAGAUGAGCCUAGGUCGGAUUAGCUAGUUGGUGGGGUAAAGGCCUACCAAGGCGACGAUCCGUAACUGGUCUGAGAGGAUGAUCAGUCACACUGGAACCGAGACACGGUCCAGACUCCUACGGGAGGCAGCAGUGGGGAAUAUUGGACAAUGGGCGAAAGCCUGAUCCAGCCAUGCCGCGUGUGUGAAGAAGGUCUUCGGAUUGUAAAGCACUUUAAGUUGGGAGGAAGGGCAGUAAGUUAAUACCUUGCUGUUUUGACGUUACCAACAGAAUAAGCACCGGCUAACUUCGUG